This 82-nucleotide transfer RNA is filed under the name Serratia symbiotica str. Tucson. It matches the Rfam family "tRNA". From Rfam's summary of the family: Transfer RNA (tRNA) molecules are approximately 80 nucleotides in length. Their secondary structure includes four short double-helical elements and three loops (D, anti-codon, and T loops). Lineage: Bacteria; Pseudomonadati; Pseudomonadota; Gammaproteobacteria; Enterobacterales; Yersiniaceae. The record is from Rfam by way of RNAcentral.
GGUGGGGUUCCCGAGCGGCCAAAGGGAGCAGACUGUAAAUCUGCCGUCGCAGACUUCGAAGGUUCGAAUCCUUCCCCCACCA